GAUGAACGCUGGCGGCGUGCCUAAUACAUGCAAGUCGAGCGAACGGACGAGAAGCUUGCUUUUCUGAUGUUAGCGGCUGACGGGUGAGUAACACGUGGAUAACCUACCUAUAAGACUGGGAUAACUUCGGGAAACCGGAGCUAAUACCGGAUAAUAUUUUGAACCGCAUGGUUCAAAAGUGAAAGACGGUCUUGCUGUCACUUAUAGAUGGAUCCGCGCUGCAUUAGCCAGUUGGUAAGGUAACGGCUUACCAAGGCAACGAUGCAUAGCCGACCUGAGAGGGUGAUCGGCCACACUGGAACUGAGACACGGUCCAGACUCCUACGGGAGGCAGCAGUAGGGAAUCUUCCGCAAUGGGCGAAAGCCUGACGGAGCAACGCCGCGUGAGUGAUGAAGGUCUUCGGAUCGUAAAACUCUGUUAUUAGGGAAGAACAUAUGUGUAAGUAACUGUGCACAUCUUGACGGUACCUAAUCAGAAAGCCACGGCUAACUACGUG
RNAcentral lists this ribosomal RNA (497 nucleotides) under uncultured bacterium. RNAcentral's name for it is "partial 16S ribosomal RNA". It matches the Rfam family "Bacterial small subunit ribosomal RNA", at positions 28 to 507 of the family's 1533-position model. The record is from RNAcentral.